AGGGGUAUAGCUCAAUAGUAGAGUGCAUGCUUGGAGUGCACAAGGUCCUGGGUUCAAUCCCCAGAGCCUCCG
This 72-nucleotide transfer RNA is filed under the name Camelus bactrianus (Bactrian camel). It matches the Rfam family "tRNA". From Rfam's summary of the family: Transfer RNA (tRNA) molecules are approximately 80 nucleotides in length. Their secondary structure includes four short double-helical elements and three loops (D, anti-codon, and T loops). RNAcentral also lists the same sequence under 2 other names. The record is from Rfam by way of RNAcentral. Lineage: Eukaryota; Metazoa; Chordata; Mammalia; Artiodactyla; Camelidae.